GAAUGUAGCAUACAUGGCGUACUGCUUAGUAACACGUGGACAACCUACCCUCCGGACGGGUAUAAACCCGGGAAACUGGGUAUAAUCCCCGAUAGAUCUCGGUCGCUGGAAUGCCCCGAGAUCGAAAGCUCCGGCGCCAGAGGAUGGGUCUGCGGCCUAUCAGGUAGUAGUGCGUGUAGCGUACCUACUAGCCUACGACGGGUACGGGUUGUGAGAGCAAGAGCCCGGAGAUGGAUUCUGAGACACGAAUCCAGGCCCUACGGGGUGCAGCAGGCGCGAAAACUUUACAAUGCCGGCAACGGCGAUAAGGGGACCUCGAGUGCCAGGUUACAAAUCUGGCUGUCGUGAUGCCUAAAAAGCAUUGCAUAGCAAGGGCCGGGCAAGACCGGUGCCAGCCGCCGCGGUAACACCGGCGGCUCGAGUGGUAACCGUUAUUAUUGGGUCUAAAGGGUCUGUAGCCGGCCGGAUAAGUCUCUUGAGAAAUCCAGCAGCUCAACUGUUGGGCUUUCAGGAGAUACUGUUCGGCUCGAGGCCGGGAGAGGUGAGAGGUACUUC
RNAcentral lists this ribosomal RNA (555 nucleotides) under uncultured Methanosaeta sp. Its description in RNAcentral is "bacterial SSU rRNA". It matches the Rfam family "Archaeal small subunit ribosomal RNA", at positions 60 to 621 of the family's 1478-position model. The record is from RNAcentral. Lineage: Archaea; Methanobacteriati; Methanobacteriota; Methanomicrobia; Methanotrichales; Methanotrichaceae.